CCAGCUGGACUGGGGAGAGAAUUGGAAGGAUAAAAGCUACAGAACUUGUGGGUUGAGAUAAAGACAGUGUAAUAGGGAAAGCAAAAGCCAUGCACACAAGCAAAGCAAAACAAGGAAUUAGUUCGCUGCUUCCCAUGGGCAGACA
This is a long non-coding RNA of Corapipo altera (White-ruffed manakin), 145 nucleotides long. RefSeq lists it as uncharacterized. The record is from RefSeq and is a predicted model, not a curated record. Lineage: Eukaryota; Metazoa; Chordata; Aves; Passeriformes; Pipridae. The transcript has 3 exons.